CUUGGACAUUAUGAGAGGUCCAGCCUGCCCAGUGAAAUAAUUCAACGGCCGCGGUAUCCUAACCGUGCGAAGGUAGCGUAAUCACUUGUUCUCUAAAUCAGGACUAGUAUGAACGGCAUUACGAGGGUUAUACUGUCUCCUUUUUCUAAUUAGUGAACUUAAUCUUCCCGUGAAGAAGCGGGAAUAAGCCUAUAAGACGAGAAGACCCUAUGGAGCUUUAAACAAUCUAGCAUUUGCCUACCACUUUAAUAUUUUUCAGAAUCACUAGACCCUGCAUAAUGACUAGAAGUUUUAGGUUGGGGUGACCGCGGAGUAAAACUCAUCCUCCACAAUGAAAGAACCUUUAUUCUUAACUAAGAUAUACUUAUCUAUGUAUCAACUCAUUGACAUCUAUUGACCCAAUAUACUUGAUCAACGAAC
Molecule: ribosomal RNA, 420 nt
Filed under: Amazophrynella sp. OTU3
Lineage: Eukaryota; Metazoa; Chordata; Amphibia; Anura; Bufonidae
Description: partial large subunit ribosomal RNA
Rfam family: Bacterial large subunit ribosomal RNA
Source: RNAcentral